This 73-nucleotide small RNA is filed under the name Homo sapiens (human). RNAcentral describes it as "nc039 non-coding RNA". The record is from RNAcentral. Lineage: Eukaryota; Metazoa; Chordata; Mammalia; Primates; Hominidae.
CACUCUUUUCUACUUCUAUUCCAUUCUCUUCACAGCAACUAGAGUGGUUAUAAUGAUUGCUACCUUGCUUGAG